Molecule: long non-coding RNA, 1847 nt
Organism: Gasterosteus aculeatus aculeatus (three-spined stickleback)
Lineage: Eukaryota; Metazoa; Chordata; Actinopteri; Perciformes; Gasterosteidae
Source: Ensembl
ACACAGACAUACAUACAUACAUACAUACAGACACACACACAUACAUACAGACACAGACACACACACACACACAUACAGACAGACAGACACAGACACACACACAUACAUACAGACACACACAUACAGACAUACACAGACAUACACAGACACACACACACAUACAUACAUACAGACACACACACACACACACACACACAUACAGACACAGACACACACACAUACAUACCGACACACACACACACACACAGACACAUACACACACAUACAUACAUACAGACACACACAUACAGACAGACAGACACACACAUACAUACAGACACAGACACACACACACACACACACAUACAGAGACAGACACAGACACACACACACAUACAUACAGACACACACAUAUAGACAGACAGACAUACACAGACACACACAUACAUACACAGACACACACACACAUACAUACAUACAACAUACAGACACACACACACACACAUAUACAGACACACACAUACAUACAUACAGACACACACCUACAGACAGACAGACACACAUACAUACACAGACACACACACACACACAUACAUACCGACACAGACACACACACACACACACAUACAUACAUACAGACACACACAUACAGACAGACAGACACACACACAUACAUACAUACACAGACACACACACACACACACACACACACCGCCCGCCCAUAAAGUCGUGGAUCGUAUGGUCCAACAAUAAACCUUUUGCACUACAUUAUCUGUUCUCUCUAUCUCUCUAUUUCUAUUCUCUAUCACACUGUUUCUACAGUCCCAUGUACCACUUUUUCAGACCAUGCUGCAGGCCUUGUAAUUACUUGUCCAAUUGCGCCAACACCAAGAUGGUGUUGUAGGGCGCAGGGCUCCCGUUGGUUCAUAUAAUGCAGCUCUCCUUGUAACCUUCCUUGAUGAGCUAGAUCAGGUCUGUAGAGCUGAUGGUGUGACCGAUGUCAUCGUGUGGGACAAUGUUAGGUUCCACCAAGCUCAAAUGGUGCAAGGUUUCAUGCCAAUGCCAGUGCCAUUGCCAGUGUCAGGUGUCAGAUUUUUUACAAGAUGUUUGGCCAAUGAAAACAUCCAUCGUGAUGUAGAUGAGAAACUGUGGCCAGAUCCACAAGACAACACUUUGAUUCAAAUAAACCCGAGUUGUGAUUUUAUUGUGUUUCUUAAAUUUCGUUCAAUGAUUCCACUGUGUCUGUACUACUACUACGUUCUACCACAGUAGUACUUUUAAAGGGAUGUAUUUACAUUUAGUAGAAUAAUCAAACCUGUAUCAUCUAUUUUGUACAGCAUUAGUGACAAUGUGACAAUGGUACAUGAACACCUAAUGGCCCGCCGAGUCACAACACUUUAAUCAGCGCCUCUUCAGAGUUAUUUCUGCAGCUCUCCAGCCUGGAAGCGGAAAGAAAGCGCUGCUCGUUCCAGAAGAGUACAGAUGUUACUGGAAUGCAAACAGCAGUCCUCCGUGACCUUCCUGUGAUCCUUGGAGAUGAGAACACAGACUUCUUUAAGACAUGCUUUGACUCUCGAGACAUGUCUCACACCUCCAUGGGGAUCCUGACAGUGAUUGCCGAAGACGGUGCCGCCUUUCUUCACUCACUGCACCUUGAAUCCACAACUACUGCCGUCAUUUUGGAAAAAACACUGGUGAUACAUUUCCCAUCAAAAUCUGCCACAUCCCAUGUGCCUGCUACCCUCAGACACCGAGGAACAUCUUAGGGUUUGUUCAAAGAGUGCUUCUCUCACUAAAAUCCCUCAAACCCAAACUACAAUCGCUCAAAACCUACUAAUGCAGUGAGGAAUUGUCUUCAUGAUGUUUAU